RNAcentral lists this ribosomal RNA (409 nucleotides) under uncultured bacterium. Its description in RNAcentral is "bacterial SSU rRNA". It matches the Rfam family "Bacterial small subunit ribosomal RNA", at positions 29 to 481 of the family's 1533-position model. The record is from RNAcentral.
AGCGAACGCUGGCGGCAGGCUUAACACAUGCAAGUCGAACGGGCGUAGCAAUACGUCAGUGGCAGACGGGUGAGUAACGCGUGGGAACGUACCUUUUGGUUCGGAACAACCCAGGGAAACUUGGGCUAAUACCGGAUAAGCCCUUACGGGGAAAGAUUUAUCGCCGAAAGAUCGGCCCGCGUCUGAUUAGCUAGUUGGUGAGGUAACGGCUCACCAAGGCGACGAUCAGUAGCUGGUCUGAGAGGAUGAUCAGCCACAUUGGGACUGAGACACGGCCCAAACUCCUACGGGAGGCAGCAGUGGGGAAUAUUGGACAAUGGGCGCAAGCCUGAUCCAGCCAUGCCGCGUGAGUGAUGAAGGCCCUAGGGUUGUAAAGCUCUUUUGUGCGGGAAGAUAAUGACGGUACCGC